This 253-nucleotide ribosomal RNA is filed under the name uncultured bacterium. RNAcentral describes it as "partial 16S ribosomal RNA". It matches the Rfam family "Bacterial small subunit ribosomal RNA", at positions 524 to 776 of the family's 1533-position model. The record is from RNAcentral.
UACAGAGGGGGCAAGCGUUGUUCGGAAUUACUGGGCGUAAAGGGCUCGUAGGUGGCCAACUAAGUCAGACGUGAAAUCCCUCGGCUUAACCGGGGAACUGCGUCUGAUACUGGAUGGCUAGAGUUUGGGAGAGGGAUGCGGAAUUCCAGGUGUAGCGGUGAAAUGCGUAGAUAUCUGGAGGAACACCGGUGGCGAAGGCGGCAUCCUGGACCAACACUGACGCUGAGGAGCGAAAGCCAGGGGAGCAAACGGG